RNAcentral lists this ribosomal RNA (1457 nucleotides) under uncultured organism. Its description in RNAcentral is "SSU rRNA". It matches the Rfam family "Bacterial small subunit ribosomal RNA". The record is from RNAcentral.
CUGGACGAACGCUGGCGGCGUGCCUAAUACAUGCAAGUAGAACGCUGAAGAGAGGAGCUUGCUCUUCUUGGAUGAGUUGCGAACGGGUGAGUAACGCGUAGGUAACCUGCCUUGUAGCGGGGGAUAACUAUUGGAAACGAUAGCUAAUACCGCAUAACAAUGGAUGACACAUGUCAUUUAUUUGAAAGGGGCAAUUGCUCCACUACAAGAUGGACCUGCGUUGUAUUAGCUAGUAGAUGAGGUAAUGGCUCACCUAGGCGACGAUACAUAGCCGACCUGAGAGGGUGAUCGGCCACACUGGGACUGAGACACGGCCCAGACUCCUACGGGAGGCAGCAGUAGGGAAUCUUCGGCAAUGGGGGCAACCCUGACCGAGCAACGCCGCGUGAGUGAAGAAGGUUUUCGGAUCGUAAAGCUCUGUUGUAAGUCAAGAACGGGUGUGAGAGUGGAAAGUUCACACUGUGACGGUAGCUUACCAGAAAGGGACGGCUAACUACGUGCCAGCAGCCGCGGUAAUACGUAGGUCCCGAGCGUUGUCCGGAUUUAUUGGGCGUAAAGCGAGCGCAGGCGGUUUGAUAAGUCUGAAGUUAAAGGCUGUGGCUCAACCAUAGUUCGCUUUGGAAACUGUCAAACUUGAGUGCAGAAGGGGAGAGUGGAAUUCCAUGUGUAGCGGUGAAAUGCGUAGAUAUAUGGAGGAACACCGGUGGCGAAAGCGGCUCUCUGGUCUGUAACUGACGCUGAGGCUCGAAAGCGUGGGGAGCGAACAGGAUUAGAUACCCUGGUAGUCCACGCCGUAAACGAUGAGUGCUAGGUGUUGGAUCCUUUCCGGGAUUCAGUGCCGCAGCUAACGCAUUAAGCACUCCGCCUGGGGAGUACGACCGCAAGGUUGAAACUCAAAGGAAUUGACGGGGGCCCGCACAAGCGGUGGAGCAUGUGGUUUAAUUCGAAGCAACGCGAAGAACCUUACCAGGUCUUGACAUCCCGAUGCUAUUUCUAGAGAUAGAAAGUUACUUCGGUACAUCGGUGACAGGUGGUGCAUGGUUGUCGUCAGCUCGUGUCGUGAGAUGUUGGGUUAAGUCCCGCAACGAGCGCAACCCCUAUUGUUAGUUGCCAUCAUUCAGUUGGGCACUCUAGCGAGACUGCCGGUAAUAAACCGGAGGAAGGUGGGGAUGACGUCAAAUCAUCAUGCCCCUUAUGACCUGGGCUACACACGUGCUACAAUGGUUGGUACAACGAGUUGCGAGUCGGUGACGGCGAGCUAAUCUCUUAAAGCCAAUCUCAGUUCGGAUUGUAGGCUGCAACUCGCCUACAUGAAGUCGGAAUCGCUAGUAAUCGCGGAUCAGCACGCCGCGGUGAAUACGUUCCCGGGCCUUGUACACACCGCCCGUCACACCACGAGAGUUUGUAACACCCGAAGUCGGUGAGGUAACCUUUUGGAGCCAGCCGCCUAAGGUGGG